Molecule: ribosomal RNA, 467 nt
Filed under: uncultured bacterium
Lineage: Bacteria
Description: partial 16S ribosomal RNA
Rfam family: Bacterial small subunit ribosomal RNA
Source: RNAcentral
GAUGAACGCUGGCGGCGUGCUUAACACAUGCAAGUCGAACGAAAAGGCCCAAGCUUGCUUGGGUACUCGAGUGGCGAACGGGUGAGUAACACGUGGGUGAUCUGCCCUGCACUUCGGGAUAAGCCUGGGAAACUGGGUCUAAUACCGGAUAGGACCACUUCUUGGAUGUUGUGGUGGAAAGUUUUUUCGGUGUGGGAUGAGCUCGCGGCCUAUCAGCUUGUUGGUGGGGUAAUGGCCUACCAAGGCGUCGACGGGUAGCCGGCCUGAGAGGGUGUACGGCCACAUUGGGACUGAGAUACGGCCCAGACUCCUACGGGAGGCAGCAGUGGGGAAUAUUGCACAAUGGGCGCAAGCCUGAUGCAGCGACGCCGCGUGGGGGAUGACGGCCUUCGGGUUGUAAACUCCUUUCGCUAGGGACGAAGCGUUUUGUGACGGUACCUGGAGAAGAAGCACCGGCUAACUACGUG